This 253-nucleotide ribosomal RNA is filed under the name uncultured bacterium. Its description in RNAcentral is "partial 16S ribosomal RNA". It matches the Rfam family "Bacterial small subunit ribosomal RNA", at positions 524 to 776 of the family's 1533-position model. The record is from RNAcentral.
GACGAACCGUGCAAACGUUGUUCGGAAUUACUGGGCGUAAAGGGCGCGUAGGCGGUUCGUUAAGUCCUGUGUGAAAUCCCCCGGCUCAACUGGGGAACUGCACAGGAAACUAGCGGGCUUGAGUUCGGGAGAGGGAAGCGGAAUUCCGGGUGUAGCGGUGAAAUGCGUAGAUAUCCGGAGGAACACCGGUGGCGAAGGCGGCUUCCUGGACCGACACUGACGCUGAGGCGCGAAAGCUAGGGGAGCAAACGGG